This 237-nucleotide ribosomal RNA is filed under the name Staphylococcus aureus. Its description in RNAcentral is "partial 23S ribosomal RNA". It matches the Rfam family "Bacterial large subunit ribosomal RNA", at positions 692 to 928 of the family's 2925-position model. Lineage: Bacteria; Bacillati; Bacillota; Bacilli; Caryophanales; Staphylococcaceae. The record is from RNAcentral.
GCGUUUAAUUUUGGGUCGUAGACCCGAAACUAGUCGAUGGUCUCGAGGGUAGGUACAAGAUCAAGUAACACGGAAUGGAGGACCGAAACGUGUUACGUCGAGUAGUGAGCGAAUGAGAUGCGGGUAGAGGAGAUUUUCCAAUCGACCCCGGGGAUCCCUGUUUCCCUCCGAAAUAGCAUUAGGGCUAGCCUCAUGUGAUGAUUAUUGGAGUUAGAGCACUGUGUGGACGAGGGGCCC